GACGAACCGUGCGAACGUUGUUCGGAAUCACUGGGCUUAAAGGGCGCGUAGGCGGACUCUCAAGUCUGUGGUGAAAUCCCCCGGCUCAACCGGGGAACUGCCGUGGAUACUGGGAGUCUCGAGGGGUGUAGGGGCAUGCGGAACUUCGGGUGGAGCGGUGAAAUGCGUAGAUAUCCGAAGGAACGCCGGUGGCGAAAGCGGCGUGCUGGACACCUUCUGACGCUGAGGCGCGAAAGCCAGGGGAGCAAACGGG
RNAcentral lists this ribosomal RNA (253 nucleotides) under uncultured bacterium. RNAcentral describes it as "partial 16S ribosomal RNA". It matches the Rfam family "Bacterial small subunit ribosomal RNA", at positions 524 to 776 of the family's 1533-position model. The record is from RNAcentral.